CUUUACAAAUGUCAAGUUUAUUCAAAUUACAGCUUAAAUACUUUUUUCCCUUAAUGGACCUGUCCGUACACACUCAAGGUGUACAACUGAUAUUUAAAGCAUUUGGCACCGGCUGUGUAAAUAUGUUGUGCCAAACAACUUAUGAGCGUGUAUGUGGACAAUAUGUGUUUGUUUUUCAGGUUGAAGUUGCCCUCCAUCCAGCCCUCCUCAAGAGUAGGAGUGAGGAGAAUGAUAUCAAGUCAAAUGUGUGUAUUUACAGGAAAAGUGUGGUCGAAAUGACGGGUCGCCACUGCUCUGUGGGUUAACUGAGACCUGCCUUGCAUGUAACAUCAGUGGAUCAAUCCUCUAUACGUUGUCAAGGAUGAAGAAUAAUGAGUAAAAACGCUGUCCAAGCUCUGUCCCAAUCCCAAACUAAUAUCACCCAGGAAUACACUGGGUACGACACCUCUCCUUCAGCUCUCCACCUUUCCUUUCCUCUCUUCUUCUCUCCACUCUCAUCCCAACCUAGGUCAAGUGACCUUCUCUGUUCGCAAUGGCAUCAGUGACGGAACUAGAGUUUUAUACAUGGGGUGGCCAAGGUUACUUCAGGGGGUCCAUAGACCAAUUCAGAAAAUGUGUGUAUAACCCUAAGCUGGCAUCUAAGGAGCAUGAAUGAAUCCUAUGAUUGCUGAUUAGAGGUAGAAGUGAUAAUUCACUUAACCUGGAGUUCUUCGAUGUGGCAGAUAGUGUGGUCCAAAAGGGUUACUUCACUAGAAUACUUUAACAUACUAUGAAUAGUCAGUGUCUCUACCUCGGAACUGCAGCUCAAUUUCUUUCUCUCACACACACACUGUACUGUACUCACAUACUGAAGAGACUUAGGUCACUCUGUUUUCAUGAAUAUAUGAUCUGGGUCUUUAAGUGUUGAACAUCUAAAAUAUUUUCAGAAAAUAAAUCUCAAGCACCAAGGAGAUAAGAUAGCAUGUUUGUUACAUAAAUUGCAUAGUUUAUUUACAAAAAAACACUGCAAUUUGACAUACCAGGUACCAAACAGAAAUGGACUUCAAAAAUAUAAAUAAUUUUGGUGCCCAUCAAUAUUACAAACUUACAGUAACAUACUUAUUCUCAUAGAUAUAUUAUGUUAACUAAUAGCAAAGAAAACUUUUGGAAUUGGCCAAAUCAAGACCAAAUUAAAACUGUGUGACAUGAUACCCUUUGGAUUUAUAAUUUUAGAAUGUCAGUGUACUAGCUAGUACACAGUGCAGGUUUUAAUCAUGACCAGAGAGACCACCUAAGUGCCAAAUUAUCAUAGGUAGAUUUAAAAUGGCAUAAUUCUGAUGUUCUGGUGAGAACUGGCAAAAUGUUUCACAAACUCAUCCAUGUUGAGGGAGCGUGCCCUCCUUGACUCAACAGAUAAUUUUUAGGUGACAACCUGUCAUCAACCAUUGUUGUUCUAAGGUGGGUUUUAAUCUGUUUUAAAGCUGAGAAGCUUCUCUCGCAAGAAGCACUGCUGACUGGUGUAACAACAGAAAUCUUACGUCUAAAUAGCUCAAGGAAGACCUCUUUAUAAGGUUCGAGAAACACAACAAAGUCAAGGAGAGUAGACAGUCUGUCCCUUCCACUUUUGUCUCUCCAAUCAAGAAGCCACUUGGUUUGAUGAACCUCAUGUUUGAGGUCCUCUACAUCUGACUCAAAGGUCGGAGCUCAGGCAAACAGAGGCUCCUCAUUCAUGUAUGUUGUACUCUUUGGGUUGAGAGACUGAACCCCUUGCAUUAUCUCGCAAUUCUUCUUUGAAAAACGCCUCUGCAGCUCAGCUGUGAGACUGUCAAGCACCUGAUAAAAGAUAGCUCUUUGGAAGCUCUCACCAUCACUUUGGUCACAAUUUUUCUGUCCUACAGUGCUCAUUGUCGAGUCGUGAAAUCUUAAGCUUGUUUUAGGCUGUCUUUUACACACUGUUUGUACACUUAUUUUGCAAUGCUCUGCAAUCUCUUUCCAUAGUUCUUCAAAGUAACCCUCACUUCUGUAGUCCUGUAAUGUGUCUGUAAGGGCACCUACUAGAUCCACAGCCCUUGUUAGGUCAAGAGAGAUUGAUUGGAGCAUGUCAGAAAGACAUUUGGCAUCACCAAGCACUUUACAAAUGGUAACCAAGAGCCCUAUGAAAUGUAAAUCUGUCUGAGAAAGAAGGCCCCUUGCCUCCACUGAUCUAUCACCACUAUUUUCAAGUGUGAUAUGUCUCCUGUCUCAGCCUCCAGUAUUUAUGCUACAGUAGUUUAUGCGUCGGGGGGCUAGGAUCAGUCUGUUAUAUCUGGAGCAUUUCUCCUGUCUUAUUCAGUGUCCUGUGUGAAUUUAAGUAUGCUCUCCCUAAUUCCCUCUUUCUUUCUCUCUGAGGACCUGAGCCCUAGGACCAUGCCUGAGGAAUACCUGGCCUGGUGACUCCUUGCUGUCCCCAGUCCACCUGGCCGUGCUGCUGCUCCAGUUUCAACUGUUCUGCCUGCAGCUAUGGAACCCUGACCUGUUCACUGGGCGUGCUACCUGUGGCUUGUGUACUUAGCAUUGCCACAUGCAUUCAUCAUUUUCUCUAUGAGAAGGUCAUACUUUGCUAUUUCCUCUAAGAUUGUCAAAAAAAUUACAGUUGUGAGAGUCAGACUCUCUCUGACCUCUCUGAGCUAUAUUUUGAGUGGCAGUUAAUAGGAGCACAUCUGCAAUUGUUUUAAUGUAAGUACAGUUUUCCUCCACUUUCUUUUUCCAGUCCUCAUUUCUGACAUCCAACAUUGAGUUGCUGUCAAUAGCCCUUUUAUGCUGAUUCCAAGCAUACAUAGCAUUGAUAUGAUGCUCUGCCUUCGAAUGGAACUUAAACCCAGAAUCUUUAAACAGCACCUUUUUCCAGUUACAGAAACCUGACUGAUAUGAAGGCAGAUUCAGGUGUAUUGGGCAGAGAAAAAUGCCUACAGGCAAAACAAUAAGUUGAAUGUUGACUUAGAAUAUUCAAGGCAUGAUUUGUCCUUACACCAGGAGCUGUUGAAAGCCCUUUUCCUAGUACCAUGCUGAGUUCUGGGAAAUGUUUUCAAUCAUGGCUGUACAGGACCCUCUUCUCUGGAUCUUGAAAUACAUGUUAAAUAAUAUGUUAUAUCUCCAUGUAAAUGUAUAAUUAAG
Molecule: long non-coding RNA, 3132 nt
Organism: Oncorhynchus tshawytscha (Chinook salmon)
Lineage: Eukaryota; Metazoa; Chordata; Actinopteri; Salmoniformes; Salmonidae
Source: Ensembl